CAAUAGCGUAUAUUGAAGUUGCUGCGGUUGAAAAGCUCGUAGUUGGAUUUCUGCCAAGGACGACCGGUCCGCCCUUUGGGUGAGCACCUGGCUCGGCCUGGGCAUCUUCUUGGGGAGCGUGACUGUACUUCAUUGUGUGGCGCGGUGUCCAGGACCUUUACUUUGAGGAAAUUAGAGUGUUUCAAGCAGGCUCACGCCUUGAAUACAUUAGCAUGGAAUAAUAAUCUAGGACUUCGGUUCUAUUUUGUUGGUUUCUAGUACUGAAGUAAUGAUUGAUAGGGAUAGUUGGGGGUGGCUAGUAUUGGGCGGCCAGAGGUGAAAUUCUUGGAUUCGCUCAAGACUAACUUAUGCGAAAGCAUUCACCAAGGAUGUCUUCUUUAAUCAAGAACGAAAGUUGGGGGAUCGAAGAUGAUUAGAUACCGU
This 423-nucleotide ribosomal RNA is filed under the name uncultured eukaryote. Its description in RNAcentral is "bacterial SSU rRNA". It matches the Rfam family "Eukaryotic small subunit ribosomal RNA", at positions 592 to 1018 of the family's 1831-position model. The record is from RNAcentral.